Non-coding RNA from Doryrhamphus excisus (bluestripe pipefish), 624 nucleotides. NCBI's taxonomy places the organism in Eukaryota, Metazoa, Chordata, Actinopteri, Syngnathiformes, Syngnathidae. The record is from RefSeq and is a predicted model, not a curated record.
CAUAGCCUCCACCACCUCCUCCUUGACCUUGUCCGGCCUCUGAGCUGGGUGUCAUUGUGGAUAAGAGCAGCACACACAGGGCCAAUAUCAGCAGUAUGGACAUGAUUGUUUACCUGUAAGGGCAAAAUAUUAGAAACAGCACCAUAACAAUAAUUGUUAUAUUAAUACUUCAAAACUGAAAAUUAUUAACUAAUUGAUAGUUUAAUUUUAAUUCCUGAAUGUGAUCCCUGGUCUACGUGAUCUUACCAGUUGGAGGAGAAAACAAAGCAGUUGAGAUGAUGCACGUUGGCGUUGGAGUGAGCAGAAAGAUGUUCUACCACUGACAUGAACCGACGUGUACAUGUUCCUGUGAUGCUGAAGCGGCACGUUGGCGGUGGAAUGAACAGAAAGAUGCUGUACCACUGACAAACUGCUCCUGCCAUGUAGACUCCAACCACGUCUCUUCUCUCCAUCACCUCCUCUACCAUACCCGAAAGGGAGCGGCUUUUUUUCAGAGCUUCUCUGGAGGCCUCCACCCAAAGCCCCUUCAUUGCCUCCACCACCUCCUCCUUGACCAUGUACGGCCUCUGAGCUGGGUGUCAUUGUGGAUAAGAGCAGCACACACAGGGCCAAUGUCAGCAGUCU